Molecule: long non-coding RNA, 2099 nt
Organism: Balaenoptera musculus (blue whale)
Lineage: Eukaryota; Metazoa; Chordata; Mammalia; Artiodactyla; Balaenopteridae
Exons: 3
Source: RefSeq, a predicted model, not a curated record
UGUCUUUGGAGAAAGGGGUUCCGUUUGGACAUCCGCUCUGGGACAUGAGGGAGUGGCUGGGUAAGCCGCAAAGGGUGGCGAGGGGGCGCGACAGGGCCCGCGGCCAGGGCGCCCGAGGCCAGGCCCGGACCCGCGGGCGGUCGCAACUGGAGCCUGGAAGCAGAGGGGCGCAGACGAUGCGAGAAAAAUUGUGGAUGCCCUGGAACGGGCUCAUCGUGAUCGGGAAGAGAAUGGAGCUCCUGGGUAGAAACACGCAAAAGCCUAGGAUGUGGGACCCGAAGCUUGAGUCUGAGGACUGGAGACUGGAAGAUGUGGAAAAGGCAGUCUUGAGAGGAAAGUCAGGCCGGAGUCAGGAAAGGAUGGAUGUGAAACGAGUGCGCAGUGUAGCAAGUGCAUUACAGGCUUCCGCGGGUUUGCGGAAAGACAACUAGAGGUGUGGGGAAAGCAAGAAGUCAGACACGAAAUAGAGGCUGAAUCUGAGAAUGCAGGGACUACAGCGGGGUCUAGGGGGGGAUUUGGGUUUAAAUAGAGGUUGAAGUUUACUGGAGUGGGAACCAGUGGAGAGGACUCGAGAUCCAGAGGAUACGAACUAGGGCAGAAUGCGGAGGAGCUGAGGUCAAGUGGAGAGAAGCUGAGGUCAGGUGGAGAGAAGCUGAGGUCGAGUGGAGAGAAGCUGAGGUCAAGUGGAGAGAAGCUGCUGUUCAGCGGGGAAAGGCGGGGAUCCUGGGGAGAGAAGCUGCUGUUCAGCGGGGAAAGGCGGGGAUCCAGGGGAGAGAAGCUGGGGACUAGUGGAGAGAAAUUGUAGGGUUCAAGAAUGGGGAGCAUAAAUGAACAGAAAAUUGAAAGAGUGGUGAAAGUUACUGGUGAUGAAAGAUUGAUAGAAAUUACUGAUGCUGAGAUGGACAUUCCUUUUGAAAAGGUAGAGGAGAACAAUGAAGAGAUUGAGGAAGGGGUGGAGGUUGAGGAGGAUGUCUUGGAUGAAGUGAAUGAUAAUAUUGAUGAAUCCGUUUCUAUGGAAGAGAAAGAUUAUAGACAAAGGUACCAGUGAAUGAGGCAGAUGAAGGAUUUAAGGUAAAGAAGGAAAGAGAAGGAGAUAGGGGAAGUAUUGCAAGUCAGAGAGGAGAAAUUAGAGACAAGCAGAAAGUUACUGACCCUGAAGGGGUAAAUAUGAGAGGGAAAGGAGAGCAUCUUUGCCUAAGAGAAGAGAGAGUGGGAAUGAAGAGCUACUGGGGAUGAAGGCGGAGACCAGGACCAAAGGAAGUGAAGAAGAGUGAUAAAGAGGGAAAUGGAACAUUUUGAGAAGAAAGAGAAGAUUUGUUAAUGUGUUGAUAGGUAGAGGAAAAGUGGACAUUGGUUUCUUGGAAAAGAGCUGUGACUGAGGAGCUUACAGAGAAAUGUUUGAGAAAUGGAUUUAGGAUAGGCUAGAAGGAUUUAGUUUAACACAUGAUUGGGUUUAUGAGAUGUAGGAGAAUGCAUAGUGAGAAAAAUGGAAAGUUACAGCAGGAUAAGGAUAGGUCAUGAAGGUUGUGGACAGAGAUGCAGGCUGGAGUGCAGUUUCUGAGAGAGGAUCCUAAAGAAUAAUGAAGGGCUCCAAAGUGACAAAGGCAAGAGCAGAGAUAAGAAAAUAAAGAAGUGAAGAAAAAAAAUCUCUGCCUUCCCAAGACCAUCCACUGCUGGCCUCCUCUGGUGAUUAUCUGAGUACCGAGGAAUUGUUGCCUUUCUUAUAAGAAGCCUGCACAGGCACCAGGUCAAGACGAGCAGUUUUCGGUUGUGUGGGUCUCUCAGAUUAUGCCUCACAGUAUAUAAAUUGUGAACCAAAUAAUCAGACUUGUUCUUUGGCUGGAUUACAUUUUCUCCUGGAAUAUCAGAUGCAUUCCACCAAGACCACAGAAAGAAAAAGUGAAGAUCAAGAAACUGUGACACCGCUUUUAAGAAGAUCUGGCCACCCUGGGCCCAUAUGGCAACCCUUGCUGCCUGUCUGCAUUCCUGUGCUCUGCAGUUGGCCAGAGCCCGCCUGCCUGCCUGGCGUCCCUGCCCACCUUUGCAGGUGCCCGAGUUUGCUGGUCCAGUUUGAUGCCAAGCGGUGCUUGUGCAUUUGA